Molecule: unclassified non-coding RNA, 200 nt
Filed under: soil metagenome
Description: partial contains internal transcribed spacer 2 and large subunit ribosomal RNA
Source: RNAcentral
CGCCGUUGUACUACUAAGGCUCUGCCUUGCGGUGGCCGCUGCCCGGCCCUCUUUUAAAGAGGGCGAGGGCACGGCCCAAACCAAUGGGCGUUUUGGUGAGACUGUCCAGCGUAGCAAGUCAAUCGCUGUACGGUGUUCACGGAAGCGCCAGUCAACGAACGUUUGGCCUCGGAUCAGGUAGGGAUACCCGCUGAACUUAA